GUGCCACAGAUGGGUUUGUGUGUGGCAGUGGGUGGAAUGAUUGCAUGCAUCUUUUGUAACUCGCUGGUAUUAGAAAGGGAGUUCAAGAAAGCAUUGUUUAUAAUGUCAGGGCAGGAAGAUAGAAACUGGAGCCCAAAGAAAUCCCCUUAGAAGAAGAUUAUGUUAGAAUAGGAAACUUAAUUUCCAGAGGCAGAAGCUGUCCCUUCAGAUGUUUAGUCCUCCAACAAAUAAUACUUUGACGGUACUCUGUGAUCUGGAUUUUAGGUGGUAGAGCCCUCAAAAGUGCAAAAACUUAACACUGAAGUUUGAGGCAACAUGGGUCAGAGAGUAUACUCGCUGUUGAUUUUCAACACCAGAAAAGUCAAAGUCCUUUUUUUUAAAAAAAGCUGUUUUUCUAGUGGAAUGGAGAAUGACACUGCCACAUCCUUGUUGGGUCUGUUCAGGAGGUCUCCUGCAUCAAAGUGGACGUCUGCAUUUUGUUUCUGUCUUGUGUUUUUAUUAUGAAAAGAAAUGUUAUUGGGACGGGUGUGGGGUGUAGAUUAUGGUAAUAAGAGGAAUCCCUGGUUUUGUUUUCCUUAAAAGAGUUGUUUAGUGUUUUAUCAGAUGUCUGUUGUAGUUGUAGAUGGAAAAGCUUGUAAACAAACAAACACCACAUGGAGCCUGUAAAUGUUUUUGCACAACCUGUAAAGCAUUCUUGGAAGUGGCCAGUAAAAAAACGGGGGAGGGGGGUUCCAUUUUUAAAAAUGUAACUGUGUCAUUGUUUACAUAUGUAACUCUUACCCUGUUCUCAUUACACCAUUCUGGCAAAAAAUGUAGACACAGUAGUUCCAGUUUUAGAAUAAAUAACCAUUUGGAU
RNAcentral lists this long non-coding RNA (856 nucleotides) under Mus musculus (house mouse). Its description in RNAcentral is "long non-coding RNA chr19:8833283-8834139". The record is from RNAcentral. Lineage: Eukaryota; Metazoa; Chordata; Mammalia; Rodentia; Muridae.